Non-coding RNA from Glycine soja, 107 nucleotides. Lineage: Eukaryota; Viridiplantae; Streptophyta; Magnoliopsida; Fabales; Fabaceae. The record is from Rfam.
AUCUAGUGGUGAGGGCUAUUGGUGCAUAGCUUUUUAAAUCUCUCCCAGUAUUCAUAUAGGCUCUCUCCACUGAGUUGCCUAAUGCCUGAAAUAUCCUUUUUGAUGGU